CCUACGGGCGGCAGCAGUGGGGAAUAUUGGACAAUGGGGGCAACCCUGAUCCAGCCAUGCCGCGUGUGUGAAGAAGGCCCUCGGGUUGUAAAGCACUUUCAGUGAGGAAGAACGCCUGGUGGUUAAUACCCAUCAGGAAAGACAUCACUCACAGAAGAAGCACCGGCUAACUCCGUGCCAGCAGCCGCGGUAAUACGGAGGGUGCGAGCGUUAAUCGGAAUUACUGGGCGUAAAGCGCGCGUAGGUGGCUUGAUAAGCCGGUUGUGAAAGCCCCGGGCUCAACCUGGGAACGGCAUCCGGAACUGUCAAGCUAGAGUGCAGGAGAGGAAGGUAGAAUUCCCGGUGUAGCGGUGAAAUGCGUAGAGAUAGGGAGGAAUACCAGUGGCGAAGGCGGCCUUCUGGACUGACACUGACACUGAGGUGCGAAAGCGUGGGUAGCAAACAGGAUUAGAUACCCCAGUAGUC
This 465-nucleotide ribosomal RNA is filed under the name Vreelandella stevensii. RNAcentral's name for it is "partial 16S ribosomal RNA". It matches the Rfam family "Bacterial small subunit ribosomal RNA", at positions 338 to 795 of the family's 1533-position model. Lineage: Bacteria; Pseudomonadati; Pseudomonadota; Gammaproteobacteria; Oceanospirillales; Halomonadaceae. The record is from RNAcentral.